This is a long non-coding RNA of Myodes glareolus (Bank vole), 613 nucleotides long. RefSeq lists it as uncharacterized. Lineage: Eukaryota; Metazoa; Chordata; Mammalia; Rodentia; Cricetidae. The record is from RefSeq and is a predicted model, not a curated record.
CCCAGAUCACCGAAGCAGCAGGAUGUGAGCUGCCCCACUGAAAAAGCAAUCUGCCUUCUCUGCCUCCUCAAGGAACAGAUGUCUGAGGUCUCCAGGAUGGCAACUAACUGACUGCUUCUUCACCCAUACCACCUGCUGAGUGUAAGCCGAUGGACUCCCAACUCCCCUGUUCCUGUGUUGUUCCAGGCCCACAGGAAGUAGCCAGGCCUGAACCACCACCCAUAUACCCAAAAAGUCUGGGGAUAUCUAAAUGGAAGCUCUCCCAGAGAUGCUCAAGACCAUACCCACAAGAUAUGAUGAGUGUCAGAGGCCCAGCACUCAACAACCACAAUAAGGAGAUGGAACACAUUUCCCCAGGUUGGGGGAUCUGAAGGCCAAGUUCACAGUCUUAAUUCUACUGGCUACUCUGGAAAGAACUGGAACACAGGAAAUGAAGGAGGAAGGGAUCACUGCUCCAAGCCAUCAAAUUCCUAGAAUACAGUAGUGGGCCCCUGUGUAAAUAAAGGUUUUUCUGGGUGGGGGAGGUUAAGACAUUUGCACAAAAGUCUGACCAAGUGUGAGAAAUAAAAAGAUUUGAAUUCCUAAACACAAUAUUCAUAGUAUUUGAUAGAAA